GGACCAAGGAGUAUAGCAUGUGCGCGAGUCAUUGGGACAAUAACGAAACCUAAAGGCGCAAUGAAAGUGAAGGUCCGCCUCGCGCGGACCUAGGGAGGAUGGGCGGUCGCCCAGUGGCCGCCCCGCACUCCCGGGGCGUCUCGUUCUCAUCGCGAGAAGAGGCGCACCCAGAGCGUACACGCUGGGACCCGAAAGAUGGUGAACUAUGCCUGGUCAGGACGAAGUCAGGGGAAACCCUGAUGGAGGUCCGUAGCGAUUCUGACGUGCAAAUCGAUCGUCGGAACUGGGUAUAGGGGCGAAAGACUAAUCGAACCAUCUAGUAGCUGGUUCCCUCCGAAGUUUCCCUCAGGAUAGCUGGCGCUCGCUUCUUGCGAGUCUCAUUCGGUAAAGCGAAUGAUUAGAGGCAUUGGGGUCGAAACGGCCUCAACCUAUUCUCAAACUUUAAAUGGGUGAGAUCUCCGGCUUGCUUGAACAGUGAAGCCGCGAGAUAUCGGAUCAGAGUGCCAAGUGGGCCACUUUUGGUAAGCAGAACUGGCGCUGUGGGAUGAACCAAACGCCGAGUUAAAGCGCCUAAAUCGACGCUUAUGGGAUACCAUGAAAGGCGUUGGUAACUUAAGACAGCAGGACGGUGGCCAUGGAAGUCUGAA
RNAcentral lists this ribosomal RNA (647 nucleotides) under Schizonycha sp. SA1Ayel DA-2012. RNAcentral describes it as "eukaryotic LSU rRNA". It matches the Rfam family "Eukaryotic large subunit ribosomal RNA", at positions 663 to 1266 of the family's 3401-position model. The record is from RNAcentral. Lineage: Eukaryota; Metazoa; Arthropoda; Insecta; Coleoptera; Scarabaeidae.